RNAcentral lists this ribosomal RNA (253 nucleotides) under uncultured prokaryote. RNAcentral's name for it is "partial 16S ribosomal RNA". It matches the Rfam family "Bacterial small subunit ribosomal RNA", at positions 524 to 776 of the family's 1533-position model. The record is from RNAcentral.
UACGGGGGGGGCAAGCGUUGUUCGGAAUUACUGGGCGUAAAGGGCGCGUAGGCGGUCUUGUAAGUCUCGUGUGAAAUCCCUCGGCUUAACUGAGGAACUGCACGGGAUACUGCAUGACUUGAGGUCGGGAGAGGGAAGCGGAAUUCCGGGUGCAGCGGUGAAAUGCGUAGAUAUCCGGAGGAACACCGGUGGCGAAGGCGGCUCUCUGGACAGUAACCGACGCUGAGGCACGAAAGCUAGGGGAGCAAACAGG